UGCAUACGCUACUGUAAGUCGCUCUGGAUAAGAGCAUCUGCUAAAUGACAAAAA
Molecule: non-coding RNA, 54 nt
Organism: Salmo salar (Atlantic salmon)
Lineage: Eukaryota; Metazoa; Chordata; Actinopteri; Salmoniformes; Salmonidae
Source: Rfam